UCCGAUAUGGUCUAGUGGCUAGGAUUUGCCGCUCUCACCGGCAAGGCCCGGGUAAGUUCAAUCACAGUAACCCACUCCGACAACUCAAUCUAACAUCUUAAAAGGUUCGAUUCCCGGUGUCGGAA
This 125-nucleotide transfer RNA is filed under the name Bipolaris maydis (southern corn leaf blight pathogen). RNAcentral describes it as "tRNA-Glu". It matches the Rfam family "tRNA". From Rfam's summary of the family: Transfer RNA (tRNA) molecules are approximately 80 nucleotides in length. Their secondary structure includes four short double-helical elements and three loops (D, anti-codon, and T loops). The record is from RNAcentral. Lineage: Eukaryota; Fungi; Ascomycota; Dothideomycetes; Pleosporales; Pleosporaceae. RNAcentral also lists the same sequence under 2 other names.